RNAcentral lists this long non-coding RNA (264 nucleotides) under Helianthus annuus (common sunflower). Its description in RNAcentral is "sRNA HanXRQr2_Chr11g0485921". Lineage: Eukaryota; Viridiplantae; Streptophyta; Magnoliopsida; Asterales; Asteraceae. The record is from RNAcentral.
UAAGACUAUACUUUGUGAAUUUCGUUAAGGUUCUGAUCUCGUGACCAUCGUUAGGUUUGAUUGGGUUUAACACUAAUACGUAUUCCACUCUGUUAAACUAAAUGUUUAACUACCAGAAACUCUGCACUAUACACUUACAAUCAAGAUAGAUGCCUAGUUAUCAGAAGACUUAGAAUCAGAAGGCCUGUUAAAUCAAGACUAUAUGCUAACAAGGUGAUUACAAUAGAUUGGAAUAAAAGUGAUGAUACGGCACCGAAAGGCUUA